This 5759-nucleotide long non-coding RNA is filed under the name Taeniopygia guttata (zebra finch). RNAcentral's name for it is "lncRNA (ENSTGUG00000021092.1)". The record is from RNAcentral. Lineage: Eukaryota; Metazoa; Chordata; Aves; Passeriformes; Estrildidae.
GGGAAACACCAAAGAACACCAGGAGCCUGCAUUUGGAGAUCUGCAGCAGCCAACCCCAGCGUCCAGACCCAGGCGACCACUCCCAGGAAAGACCUUCUGGAUUUGUUCAGCUCUUCAGAGGGGUGAAAGAGUUUUGUUGUCAUCUUGUGUUGUUAAUUGUUUUGGUGCUGGGGAGUGCUUUGUUGUUGAAUAAACAGGUUCUUUUCCACUUCUCUCUCAGAGGGAAUUUUUCCCUGAACCAGAUUGCUAUGCAUUGUGUGAAGAGAAGCUCUUGUGGCAGCUGAUGGAAGCAUUAUCCAAAAUCAAACAUAAUGUCCCUGAAGGAAAGAGCAGAGCAGUGACAGCUGCCACAACCCUUCACAGCCACCACCAUGCUGCAUGAACUGAUGAGGGUCUGCACAAGGAAGUGGCUGAGGAAGGCUCUGCCAGGGCAAGGCCAGUGCUCUUGGUGCUGCAGUGUGGGGCACAUCAUUUCAUUAGAGACAAUCAGAUUAACACCCAAAUUGUUCCUCUAAGGCUUGGCACAGAUAUGGGGAAGAGCCUACACUGCUGGGAGUGUGGAGGAGGAAACUUCUGAACAAAGCUUGGUCCACCUGACAAACAGACACUUAGAGACUCUGUUUUGGAGAAACUUGGAACUUCUCCAUGUCUUGGCUACUGUGCUGAUGUGGCAUCUUCCUUUUCUCCACUGAUGACUUUGCAAAGUGCUGAAGAGAGAAGCCGUGGAAGAUGAGGGCUUGGGUCUGUGACCGUCAGCAAAGGUCUUAUUGGACUCUUCAAACAGGAGAAGGAUAUUUUUGGUUAGUUUUUCUUCUGACAAAUGGUAUUCAAGCUUCAUAUGCUUAUUCCUUUUGGGGCAAUGUACUGUAUCUGCUGAAUACCCAGUUCUGGUAUUACCUAUGAAGAAAUGCUCUAGUGAUGCAUUCUUUCAAAGUAACGCUGAAAUUUUAAAAGUAGCAUACCAUUUACAUGUGCAAUAACUGGAAUUCAUCUGUAUUGCUUUUAUAAGGAGCACAAACACACCUAGAUUAAUAAAUAAAGUUUCCAUUGUUACCUUCCAGCAUUAUUUCCUUUUCUCCAUUCUAGUUUCCAUUUUUACCUUCCAGCAUUAUUUCCUUUUCUCCAUUCUAUUUUCCCUUAAGACUGCAAAGUUGAGAUAUCUCUGCUACAAGUGGCACACAUUAAAAAAUUAAUUGUCUCAGCUUAUUACUAAAGGCCUUUUCCCCUCCUAAUUUAUUGUUUCCUUGGCAGUUAUAAAUAUGCUGUAGAAGGUGGCAGACGUGCAAAUCCAUCAGUAUAUCCUUCAGUUACUCUGAACAUUUACACUGGAGUCAGGCAUCAUGGCACUGCACUCUGCAAAGUGAAAGCUCUGGGUUUCAAAUGCAUUUAGGGAGAUGACUACAUUGAUUUCAAGUACUGAAAUAUUUUCGAGACACUGAGUUCUAGGAAACUAACUUUCAUUGACUUUCAAUGAGGAUGUUCUAAGUUAAAUCCUGCAAAAUGCUGAGUAUUCCUAAAAUUCAGUGAGUAGUCACAGCUUUCCCUAAAAACAAUUGGAUUUGAGGCUGUCCAACACUUUAGAAAACUGCUCAGCACUUUUCCAGGUCAAGCUUUUAAAAAUGUUUCUGUCAGGUUGCUAUAAUCAGUUUGAAAAUUCAUGGCCACUUUUGGAAAUGCUUGCAGGUCCUGAGUGUGCAACUUUAGUAUGAGAUAUUAAAAGUGGUUUACUAACAGGAAGAUUUUAUAAUAGACAAUCAGACAUAAUCGCUUUAUUAUGAGGUUCUCCUAACAGCUCAGAAAAAGCUUUGUUGUUCUCUAACCAUUUAUUCACAUUUAAAAAGUGAUCAUUCUUUUAAAGUCUCUUAAAGAACAAAAGCCUUCUACUAUAUAAAUAGUGCUUUGAGUGUUACAGGGUAUUGACUCCACAUACCAUAAUACAGCAUUAUGUCAAUCUGGUGCCAACUGUGGUGUUUGUCACAUUUUGGUGUGAUAAAGAUCCUUAUGAAGUAUCUGCACAUAAAAAAUGCCAGUGACUCAAAUUAAAAAAAAAAAAAUCAUCCUAUAAGGAAUAUUUUAUCUUUUGUCAGGCAAAUGAUCUCAUUUGAAAACAAAAAGAACUCAGUCAGUGAUCUCUGAAGAGCCUUUUAGCCUGCUCCCUGAAGUGGAUGCCAGAGUUGUGUCAGGCUCCCUGAGCUGAGCAGGGCAGAGGUUGGGCAUGGCAGAGCAGGAUUCCAGACACUGGUGUACCAAGAAGAUUAGUGCUCCUAGCUCUGAAGGAUCACAAGAACUAUGAGAAACUAAAAGGGUUUAACUGUGUAAAUUCCAUCCUCUUCUGGGGACCAUUUAUUUCUUCAGAUUCUGAGAGAAAAAAACCAACCUGCACAUCAUAUAGAUAGGUACUCUGAGCCUAACCUACAUUUAAAGACACCCUGAAAAUACUUUGUUAAUGAAUACAAGCAAAUGAAUGCUUCCUUGUCAGUCUUCAGUGUUGCACUAAGCUGCUUCUAAGACUGAAUGAAAUCCAUAGAUGAUGUCCAGAAAAGUAAUUUGGGAAACUGUUAAUUAAAAUGCAAGGUGCAUUGAAAAUUUUUUUAGAACUUUGCAAUUUCAUGAUUGUGCAUCAUCCACAUUGUGCACCUUUCAUUUCUUUCUAUUUUAGACAUUUCAUUCAGCUUUUUUCAAAACAUGCCAGCAGGCAUCAGGGCAGAGAAGGUUAAAGUUUGAUUAGGCAAUGAAUAAUUUAAAAAGUAAAAUUAAGAUGGUUUUAUUACCAUAUAUUUAAAAAUGCAUUUUUUACCAAUGGUUUAAAGACAUUUUUAAAAAAUUGAAAAUGUAGCCCACUAGAGAUUACCAAAUUACUCUAUCAUUCUUGUCAGUUCCCCUUCAUUGAUUAAGAAAACAUUUCAAGGUGGCUUUAUCCCAAAAUAUUGCCUUCAUGUGGAUUUAAACAGAAGAAACCUGUGCAACUAGAAGAGAAACUGCUUUUUUUCAAAUCCAAAUACACAAUAUGGUAAUCAGUCUGAAUUCCUAAAAUAAGCACUAAAGAAAUUUUAACAGGAAGACUUAGGUUUUGGUCAUGAAUAACUGGAGUAAGUUCGAUAAUUUUUGGAGCUCUAGAGGCUAUUCUAAAUAGUUAAGGCAAGUUUGUUUUGACAAUAAAUAGUGAUUGCAUAGUAAUACAAUAGAUAUUUAUAGAGACGUCAUAUAUAUUUCAGAAAACCUUAUUAAUCUACCUUUAAAAUUGUAUUACUUUAUGAGGGACUUAAUAUCAGGUGAAUUUUAAUAGGAGUCUAGUCCAGCAUUUCCCUCCCUACUGGGAACGAAACAAGGCCCUUUCUUGUGAAUUAGUGUUAAUAAGUCAUCAAUAGAUUCAGCUGUGGGAUAAUGAAUUACUCACUUGUUCUUGCCAGAAGAGUUCAAGUGGGCUUCUUGCAACAUGCUGAACUAUUAUUUCCUGGUGGAGUCAUGCAUCUUGUCAGCCACUUAAUAGCAGUGGCUGCAGGACACAUUUGGGCAUUAUAUAAUCAGAAUAACCCAAACUUUAGACCUUGCUUGUAAGGAUUUCAGAGACACAAUUGAAAGACAUGUCACAAUGUACUUACAGUGAUAAGCAUACAUGUAAAUUGGCUCCUAAGUUAUCUAAGUUCAGCUUCAUUUUCUGCAAAGUACAGUGAUUUAUGACAUAACCAUGCUAGUUACUUUCUUGUAUUUAUAGUCACCUUAUGAGUGUUUACAAACAUGCAGUAGCUACAUCACUGUCCAAAUUCCACCUAACAGGUGGAACAGGUGGGAAAACCCUUCUGCUAUUGCAAUAACAUUCAUUUUUAUAUGGGUGUUGUUUUCCUGACCAGGAAGGAGCUGUAAGGGGAAACAGUAAAACAGCUCACAUGUAGUCCUUUUAAGUUAGGGUGUGCUUGUGUGGAGAGUAUGCAUGGUCAUUUAGUUCCUCCUUCUCUCCUUCCAUUCAUUUGUUUACUGCAUUUGAUACUUGUAGGAAGCACUUGUAUCAUGUUAAUAUUGAGGUACUAUAGAGCAAUCAAAGCCUCCGUGUGAGAUGUUAUAUAUGCACAAAACAAAACAUGGUCACUGAGCUGCAGACUGUGUUAAUAAAUAUACCUACAACUUCAAGGGGAGUUCCUGGAAGGGUGGUAGUGGUAUUCCCUGGAGAUUGAUUCACUUGACACCACCUGUAUUUGUCUCUCUGAUGUAUUCCUUCUCUAUUCAUUAAGCUCUUCCUGCAAGACAAUCUCUUAUUGAUACCAGACAUAUAGGCCAUUAGAGAGUUUGUACAAGUGCAAUCCCUCCACUUGGCUGGGCCGCCAUUCUAAGACCUGUUUCUGUCUUUUGGGCUUUUCCUUCUCUGAGGUUACUCCUAAUUGCUACUUUUCUUCUGACUCUUCUCACCCUUUCCAUCUCUCUUUGGACAACAACCUUUUCUACAUAGGCCUGGUAUUUCUGUUCUCUCAGCCCCUUAGAUUUUAGCUGUUUGUGCUCUCAUUCUUCAGACCUCAGCUGGGAUUUCUUUUAGAGAAUAAGAUAAUUUCAUACAAGCCUCUGUUUUAAUUCCUUUACAGAUACUGUAUUAACAACAUGUGAUGCAGUAGUGGUUUUGUAAAGAUCAGAUACAAACCUGCACAAAAUUAGCUUUACGUUUUAGAUCUACCUCUUUCACUAUCCCUUUCUGGCAAUAUUUUACUUUUCUACAUUUUAGGGAAAAGCUUUUCUGUCCCUGCUUUCUACCCUUUCUUAGCCUGAAUUUUUUUGAGACAUGAGAAAAAGAAAGGAGGAAGACUGCACCUUUGACAGUGUAAAUCUAUUUAUGAACCACCUAAACCAAAGUUUAUCACAUAUAAAAAAUAUAUUAUUCCCAAAGACUUCCUUCUCAAGGACUGUAGGUUCAAAUCUGUGAUGGAAUCACUGAUUUUCUCUAUUUGUUCUCACACAUCUUUUGAGCUGAACAGAAGACUACAUUAGUGUGGUGGAUUCUUCCUGAUCAGUUGGCAAGCAGCAGGUUCCAUGCACACAGGCUGCACUUACACCCCUUUAUGGCUAAAAAUAUUUAAAUAGUUGUUCAAAUUACUCACGUCUUAGGUAUGGUGAGAAAUACAAAAACAAUGUCCAUUUACUGAACUGCUCUGUAACAAAGCUCACAGAAUAGUCUGCCAGCUGACAAGCAAUUUAACUGGGAGGCUGCUGCCAGUGACCUCAAAUACAUGCUUUUCUUUUAAACUGCUGAGAUCAAUAAUUGUACAUCUGAUGGCAGAAUGAAAUCAGUGUCCUGCGAUGAGCCUGCACUGUUCAUUUUAUCUCACUGAACCUCAUCCCUGACUCAUCAGCAGAGCUUGACUUCCCUUGUUGGAUUGCUAGUUCUGGCAAUUUUUUUAGCACAUGUAUUGUAGUCAGCAGCCACAGGUUAGGGUGACCUAUCAAACAUAAUUUAUUUAAACAAAGGUUUGAAUGAAAGUCUUUGGUGGAAAAUAUGUCUUGUGUUAAAAUGGUUAUCUACACAAAUCUUUCAAUGUAAACCAUUUACAAACCAGUAUGUGAUCACUAACUGCUCACCUCUGAGCAGAAUAUCUGAAAUAACCCCUUUUGAGAGGUACACUUGAGACUAUCAGUUGACUCAUGUAUUGCACUCUUACUUUUACUUUGCACCUGGAGAUAUUGUGCAAUUGUUAUGUGUUUUACUUUGGUAAUAUCAUUGUGAUUAUGCUUCUGUAUAACAUAAUACAUGGCAAAGCAGAAUAAAUGUGUCCUUC